This 254-nucleotide ribosomal RNA is filed under the name uncultured bacterium. Its description in RNAcentral is "partial 16S ribosomal RNA". It matches the Rfam family "Bacterial small subunit ribosomal RNA", at positions 524 to 776 of the family's 1533-position model. The record is from RNAcentral.
GACGUAGGGUGCGAGCGUUGUCCGGAUUUAUUGGGCGUAAAGAGCUCGUAGGCGGUGUGUCACGUCGAUCGUGAAAACUUUCAGCUUAACUGGGAGCUUGCGGUCGAUACGGGCAUCACUGGAGUUCGGCAGGGGAGACUGGAAUUCAAGGUGUAGCGGUGAAAUGCGCAGAUAUCUUGAGGAACACCGGUGGCGAAGGCGGGUCUCUGGGCCGAUACUGACGCUGAGGAGCGAAAGCGUGGGGAGCGAACAGG